CAUUAAGAAGCUAUGAACCAGCACUAGCCUUUUAAGCUAGAGAAAGGGGACUGAUAUCCUCCUUAAUGG
Molecule: transfer RNA, 69 nt
Filed under: Climacteris rufus (rufous treecreeper)
Lineage: Eukaryota; Metazoa; Chordata; Aves; Passeriformes; Climacteridae
Description: tRNA-Lys
Source: RNAcentral